Molecule: non-coding RNA, 2011 nt
Organism: Zonotrichia albicollis (white-throated sparrow)
Lineage: Eukaryota; Metazoa; Chordata; Aves; Passeriformes; Passerellidae
Source: RefSeq, a predicted model, not a curated record
UCAGCAUUGUGUCCAGCACAAAUCCAAACAUAGCCCUGUAGCAGCUGGUAUGAAGAGAAACAUCUCUACCCCAGCCAAAUCCAGCACACACCUGCACAGGAUGCAGCCACACAGGGACCACUUUUCUGCAGUUCUGGCUGCUUGUGUCCUUAGGGUGGCAGCAACUAUCAAAAAAGAACAGGCAACUGCUUCAAAUGGCUGGCACAAGGUGUCUUGGAUCCUGAAAGUCCUGGGAACAGCUGACCCUUCCACACAUAGUCUUGUGUGAAUCCUCCUAUAAACCCCAGCCUUUCCCCACUCAAGACCUUCUCAGUGACCUACAUUGCACUGAUUUUAGGAUGCAUCUCUUUCUUUGUCUUUGCUGAGGAUGGAAUCGUCAGCUUGAAGGUACACAGUGAUGAAGUUGAGGAGUCCUAUGGCAAUCAAAAAUUGCAUUGGGACGACUGAUUGAAGGGAUGGGAGCAGAGGUGGUGUUUUCCUCAAUCCCUUGGGUAGCAAGAAGGGCAUCUAAAGGAAGGUAUAUAAUCAAAACUCUUGAGUGUGCUGUAAAAGAACACUGUGGGAGAAAGUUACUCAAUAAGAGCAGUCUUUUGGAAUCUUGAAAGCCUGAUUUUCAGAAGCAGAGCUGGAGUCCUGCAUUGCCAUCACUCCUGUGCUGUUGAACGACCUCUUGGAUUUUCUUCACUGUAACAGAAGUCAUAACUUACUUGUAUGUGCCAUACUUACUUGCUACUGAUUGAUAUGGAGCUGUUAAGCAUAAUUUUACAUGGAAGAAAAUAUUGUACAUCAGAUUAAAAUGUGUUAUACAGAAGUUCAGGAUGGUGCAUCCCCAUGGGCAAGCAAGUGACCCAAAGGGACAGGAGGCCUGCCCAGCUGAAUAAUGAACUCCUGACAAAUGAGGUGGAAGCAAGCAUGGAACACUUGGGAUGAAGAUAGGGUUGUUGUCAGAGAAUGCAAAAAUACAAGGAAGGCCAAGGUCCAUUUGAAAUCAAAUCUGGCUAGGAAGUUUUUUAUAACUAUUUCUGUGUCUAAGACCAUUUUAAGUGCCAAAUGGCACCAAAAUAAGAAGACAAAUCUGGUACAGAACCUGUAGCAAGACAUUGAGGUAACUUUAAAGUCAAAUAGGUAAGUAAAACCACCUUAUACAUACGUCAACAUGUGCACAAGUGCACAAAUACUUUUUUCUUGUUCCUUUUUGCUUCCUCUCACCCUGGCUGUAGAAAACUCACCCAAAAUCAAAGAAUGCGUUACCUAAGAUCACAAUCUCCUUCCCAAAGAUAGUAUCAUCUCAUCCUGAAAAUUAGAUACAUAUCAUAUUCCUGGGAUAGAUGGCUUCACAUCAAAUCCUGGCUGUCAACUUGGAAUGAAAGCUCUGGUUGAUGCAGGGUUUGCUCAAAACAGUAAUUUAGUGAUAGCAAAAUCUAUCAGUGAAGGCUUUUUUUUUUUUUUUUUUCACUUCAGUGCUGCUUUCCCCAACAUUAAUUCCAAGAUCCAUAACCUCAUUUGUUCUCAGGAUGUUGAUAAAGCAAGUGAGGGAAUGGGCCUAUCCAUUUAUAAGAUUUCUCAGGGAUAAGAAGGUAUGACUUUAUCUUCCACAGAACAGGCUUCCACAAAUAAGCCAAAUAGCCACUGCUUCACUCUAGCCAACCACGAGCCACUUCAAAGGCUGUCCACCAGGUAAGGUGGAGGAGGUUAUCUAUGCACUCGUGAUGUAAAAUUUAUGCCUGGGAUCACAAACAGCUGAAUCCACUACCUGAGACAUACACACGGUCAUAAAUCACUUCGGAAAAAAAAUAACUUAAUUUCUCUAGAUCCCAUGAUACAGCUCCUUUCUGAGAACCAAGAGAGAAGAUGCAAUUGUUCCCUCACAAUGCAACGUUAAUUUAACGCUAGAAUAAUCUAGCAUAGAAACGAAGAAUUAAGGUAUUCUUAUAUACAGCUAAUCUUAUAUACAGCUGAUUUUUCAGUAUGUGGGGCAGGAGUUUGAUUUGCUUCACUUUAAGCACAAAAA